AGUGAACGCUGGCGGUAGGCCUAACACAUGCAAGUCGAACGGCAGCACAGUAAGAGCUUGCUCUUACGGGUGGCGAGUGGCGGACGGGUGAGGAAUACAUCGGAAUCUACUUUUUCGUGGGGGAUAACGUAGGGAAACUUACGCUAAUACCGCAUACGACCUACGGGUGAAAGCAGGGGAUCUUCGGACCUUGCGCGAUUGAAUGAGCCGAUGUCGGAUUAGCUAGUUGGCGGGGUAAAGGCCCACCAAGGCGACGAUCCGUAGCUGGUCUGAGAGGAUGAUCAGCCACACUGGAACUGAGACACGGUCCAGACUCCUACGGGAGGCAGCAGUGGGGAAUAUUGGACAAUGGGCGCAAGCCUGAUCGAGCCAUGCCGCGUGGGUGAAGAAGGCCUUCGGGUUGUAAAGCCCUUUUGUUGGGAAAGAAAAGCAGCAGGUUAAUACCCCGCUGUUCUGACGGUACCCAAAGAAUAAGCACCGGCUAACUUCGUG
Molecule: ribosomal RNA, 492 nt
Filed under: uncultured bacterium
Lineage: Bacteria
Description: partial 16S ribosomal RNA
Rfam family: Bacterial small subunit ribosomal RNA
Source: RNAcentral